UUGAACGCUGGCGGCAGGCCUAACACAUGCACGUCGAGCGGAUGAAGGGAGCUUGCUCCUGGAUUCAGCGGCGGACGGGUGAGUAAUGCCUAGGAAUCUGCCUGGUAGUGGGGGAUAACGUCCGGAAACGGGCGCUAAUACCGCAUACGUCCUGAGGGAGAAAGUGGGGGAUCUUCGGACCCCACGCUAUCAGAUGAGCCUAGGUCGGAUUAGCUAGUUGGUGGGGUAAAGGCCUACCAAGGCGACGAUCCGUAACUGGUCUGAGAGGAUGAUCAGUCACACUGGAACUGAGACACGGUCCAGACUCCUACGGGAGGCAGCAGUGGGGAAUAUUGGACAAUGGGCGAAAGCCUGAUCCAGCCAUGCCGCGUGUGUGAAGAAGGUCUUCGGAUUGUAAAGCACUUUAAGUUGGGAGGAAGGGCAGUAAGUUAAUACCUUGCUGUUUUGACGUUACCAACAGAAUAAGCACCGGCUAACUUCGUG
Molecule: ribosomal RNA, 483 nt
Filed under: uncultured bacterium
Lineage: Bacteria
Description: partial 16S ribosomal RNA
Rfam family: Bacterial small subunit ribosomal RNA
Source: RNAcentral